RNAcentral lists this transfer RNA (74 nucleotides) under Cellvibrio sp. QJXJ. RNAcentral's name for it is "tRNA-Phe". The record is from RNAcentral. Lineage: Bacteria; Pseudomonadati; Pseudomonadota; Gammaproteobacteria; Cellvibrionales; Cellvibrionaceae.
GUGUCGCACUCUGCGCACAGCGAUACGGAUUGAAAAUCCUCGUGUCCCUGGUUCGAUUCCGGGUCUGGGCACCA